This 1035-nucleotide ribosomal RNA is filed under the name Exophiala cinerea. Its description in RNAcentral is "SSU rRNA". It matches the Rfam family "Eukaryotic small subunit ribosomal RNA", at positions 73 to 1119 of the family's 1831-position model. Lineage: Eukaryota; Fungi; Ascomycota; Eurotiomycetes; Chaetothyriales; Herpotrichiellaceae. The record is from RNAcentral.
AUCAUACUGUGAAACUGCGAAUGGCUCAUUAAAUCAGUUAUCGUUUAUUUGAUAGUACCUUUACCUGGAUAACCGUGGUAAUUCUAGAGCUAAUACAUGCUAAAAACCCCGACUUCGGGAGGGGUGUAUUUAUUAGAUAAAAAACCAAUGCCCUCCGGGGCUCCUUGGUGAUUCAUAAUAACUUAACGAAUCGCAUGGCCUUGCGCCGGCGAUGGUUCAUUCAAAUUUCUGCCCUAUCAACUUUCGAUUGUAGGAUAGAGGCCUACAAUGGUCUUAACGGGUAACGGGGAAUUAGGGUUCUAUUCCGGAGAGGGAGCCUGAGAAACGGCUACCACAUCCAAGGAAGGCAGCAGGCGCGCAAAUUACCCAAUCCCGAUACGGGGAGGUAGUGACAAUAAAUACUGAUACGGGGCUCUUUCGGGUCUCGUAAUUGGAAUGAGUACAAUCUAAAUCCCUUAACGAGGAACAAUUGGAGGGCAAGUCUGGUGCCAGCAGCCGCGGUAAUUCCAGCUCCAAUAGCGUAUAUUAAAGUUGUUGCCGUUAAAAAGCUCGUAGUUGAACCUUGGCCCUGGCUGAUCUGUCCUCCUAAUCGAGCGCACGGAUUCGGUCGGGGCUUUCCUUCUGGGGAGCCCCAUGCCCUUUACUGGGUGUGGUGGGGAACCAGGACUUUUACCUUGAAAAAAUUAGAGUGUUCAAAGCAGGCCUUUGCUCGAAUACAUUAGCAUGGAAUAAUAGAAUAGGACAUCGGUUCUAUUUUGUUGGUUUCUAGGACCGCUGUAAUGAUUAAUAGGGACAGUCGGGGGCGUCAGUAUUCAAUUGUCAGAGGUGAAAUUCUUGGAUUUAUUGAAGACUAACUACUGCGAAAGCAUUCGCCAAGGAUGUUUUCAUUAAUCAGUGAACGAAAGUUAGGGGAUCGAAGACGAUCAGAUACCGUCGUAGUCUUAACCAUAAACUAUGCCGACUAGGGAUCGGACGGUGGUUUUUUUAUGCCCCGUUCGGCACCUUACGAGAAAUCAAAGUUUUUGGGCUCGGGGG